Molecule: ribosomal RNA, 206 nt
Filed under: uncultured bacterium
Lineage: Bacteria
Description: partial 16S ribosomal RNA
Rfam family: Bacterial small subunit ribosomal RNA
Source: RNAcentral
CGCGUAGGCGGCCUGGUAAGUUGGGUGCGAAAGACCAUGGCUCGACCAUGGGGUUGUAUUCAAUACUGCUGGGCUUGAGUAUAGGAGAGGAGAGUGGAAUUCCCAGUGUAGCGGUGAAAUGCGUAGAUAUUGGGAGAACACCGGUGGCGAAGGCGGCUCUCUGGACUAAUACUGACGCUGAGGCGCGAAAGCUAGGGGAGCGAACG